RNAcentral lists this ribosomal RNA (146 nucleotides) under Streptococcus suis. RNAcentral describes it as "partial 23S ribosomal RNA". It matches the Rfam family "Bacterial large subunit ribosomal RNA", at positions 1 to 136 of the family's 2925-position model. The record is from RNAcentral. Lineage: Bacteria; Bacillati; Bacillota; Bacilli; Lactobacillales; Streptococcaceae.
GGGUUGUGAGGUUAAGCGACUAAGCGUACACGGUGGAUGCCCUGGCAGUCAGAGGCGAUGAAGGACGUGCUAAUCUGCGAGAAGCGUCGGUAAGGGGAUAUGAACCGUUAUAACCGGCGAUGUCCGAAUGGGGGAACCCAGUGUGU